AAUUACUAAAACUUUAACUUAAAUUAAUAUGUAAAUAAAAAAUAGAAACUGAUCAAAGAACAUUGAAAAUUAACAUUAACAUUGUAAUGUUUUUUUAUGUUCAGGAUUCUAAAGGUCUGCUGUAUUGAAAAUGAAAAUUUGGGAGAAAAAUGUAAUAAAUGUCAUGAAAAUUAUGUAACAAUGCAUAAACUUAAUGGACCAAAAAUAUAAAGUAGGUUUAAUUUUCUUUGAGCAUAAUAAAUUUCCUUACUUUUUCUUUUGGCAUCCAAACGUUGAAUGAAAAUGAGGCAGCAUAUUUUUAAUGUUUCAUGCAGUGCAAUAUCAGCUGCUAUUGUUGAAGUGAACUAUUUAUCAUGAAAAAAUAUUACGAGUGUAAUUCUUACCUUAGCCUUUCUUGAUGGUGAUGAAGAGAAGUGGAUGCAAAGGUCAGAUAGCUGGUGCAUUGUGUUCACACGAAUAAUGUUUGUAGGGUUUUGAAAAGAAGGACCAACUUUUGCAACUUUUGUGUUUGUUUGAAUGUGGUCCUCUUGCCCUGAAGUUGAGUACCUUUAAUCUAAGUCUGCAUCUACAGGGAUGCUUUUAGUCAGUUUACAUGUUUAGAGCUGUGAUGUACAGUACAAAUACCUUAUGGACCUUCUUCAGUAAACUGUAUGUUAGCUCUGAUAGUGGAUUAUCUUCAAGACCACAUGAUGAUGGUUGUCUUGCUGUGUGGAGUUCUCAUUGUUGGCUUCAUUUGUAGUUGUAGGGCAGGAGUCCUGGAUAUCCAGCAGCAGUCUUCAGCAUCACGCAGAGGAAGAGCUGGUCACUGUGCUGAUGAACGCUCGGCCCGUCAGUAGCACCCCUUGUCCCCUCAAACCAGGCCGUAGCAGAGUGUCAUCACACAGGCUGUGUUUCUCAGGCACCAUAAACAUAUGUUCUCCCAUCUCUUCUCGGCCCCUGAGUGCCGGGACUCAUCGGCCGCUGUCUCUUGCUGCUGAGGAGAUCAUGGAGGUCCAGACCGUGGAGCAGCUCGAUCUCCAGGACUCUGAUGAAGAUAGGGAGGAUUGCCUGGCUCUGGCCUGCCUUGAGGAAGAUACCAAACAUAUGAGCACUACACCAUUAGAUGAGGGAUUAUUGACAGGGUCACUCAGAUGAAGAGGAGGAGAUCUUCAUCAGGAAUGCAGGUCUGAUGACCUGAGACUGAUUACAGCACUAUCACUAUCCUCCUGAAAUCCAGCCAAUCAAAGUCAAAUCCUGCUGUCCUCCCAUGCUACCAUACACCUUAUUUUUGUUGUAAAUUGCGAAAAUGUUCAGCUUAUUUUCACAGAAACUGUUUUGAGAGAUUCACAGGCUGGAUUCCUCCUCCCUCACCGCUGUGCUCUGGAGCUGGAUGCUGGGAAAGUGCUGCUUUAGUCACUGGUAAAGUAUCCGCUAAAUGACAAGAAUCCAAUUGCCGUUUUAACUUUUCUAAUUAGCUGCUUAUGGCUUGACAGGGUUCGUGAGGGUUCUGGAGGAAGAGAAGAUGAAAGCAUUGAAGACUGCAUGAAGCAGCAGUGUGCAAAUGAAGGCAUGGAAAGCAGAGGGAUUUCCCCUACAGAGAGAGAAUCCGCCACUGGUCACUGAGUGCAGACAGGAAACCAUUAGCGCUGACAUAAGUGCUCCCGCCGGACACACAGAGACAGAGACAUCAGGCGAGCUGAACAGAGUCAGUACUAGAUGAGCCUUGAAUUCAGUUGGGCUGCAUUUGUAAUGGCUAUAUUCAAUAUAAAAUGUCUUUAAAAUCAAACAUUUUAAAUGUGUUAUUAUUUUGCCUAUUUAUUGUAUUAUUCAAACCAGGGCUUCUCAAAUAUUUUUGUCAUCUGAGUCCAUUAGAUAUAAAAUAUUUACUUGAAGCUUCCACUGGGAUUUAAAACAACAACAACAACAACAACAAAACAAAACAAUAAUUUAAGAAACAUUCACAUGUUCAUGGUUCUCUGAUGUUGGCUAAUUGUCACACUGACAUACAAAUAAACAGAUAGAAUAUUGUUUUUAUAGUUUCAUAUAUCUUUUAAGUAGAAAUAUUUACAUUUUAUAUUUUUUUUUAUUAUUUUGAUGUGUUUUUAUUUGUUUAUUUUACAAUUUUUAUUAUUUUAAAUUAAUUAAUUUAUUCAUAUAUUUAUUUACACAUUUAUUUAUAUGGUUGCUUCACGUUCUUUUUCUUAUUGUUAUAUUAUUACAUCUACUGUAGGUAGAUUUGUUGGUAUAUUAUCAAAUUUACACACAGUAGAUUUUACUUAUUAUUAUUUGCAAUUGCCAUUUUUCCCAGCUGUCAUGUUAUCAAUUUUCCAUUCAUCUUCUCCAUAGAAAUUUUGACAGUUUAUUUUUAAAUAAAUGAAGUUCAAGUCUAAAAUUGUAUGGUUUCAGAACAUUGCCAUUUUUUUAAACAACUUUAGAAGUCAUAGAAUCUGUCUUGAAAGGUUCAUACAUUAACAUUACAAAUCAAUCUCUCUAUGGUGAUUUUGAAUGACAUUUUUACUUUUGGAACCCUACUGAUGUUCUCUGAAGCACUUAAGAUAAUUUAAAAAUACCAGAAAGAAAUAAUAACAGAUCUGGAGGCUCAAAAUGACCAGCUUUUCCGUUGUCUCCCAUCCUGAUGCCUUCAUAACUGCUGAAAGUGAGGAUGAACUCGGUCAUCGUUCUCCCAGGACAGCUAGUUCCUGCAGCCGUGGACUCAUGAUCUCUGGAAAUAAUGCCUUUUAUAGUUCUCACCCUUCACUGGGUCUGUAUUCUCAGAGCAGACACAAGAGAUGCGGCCCGUGACCCGCUUCAUUGAUUCCUAUCAGAGACAGGCUUGCAGAGGCAGCGUAUGAAAGUGCCCGUUGUGACGGAUACACGCUAUUACAUUUUUAAAACACACUGUUGUCUUUUUUUACCGCACUCUCACUUUUCACUCUCAAUGCAUUGUGGGAAAUAGCUGCUGGGGUUUUAGCACUCAUACAAGAUUUUGCCCAGAGGACACACACACCACAUAGAAUAUUUUUACUCCAUAUUUUUGUCCUGCCUUGUACCUGCUAUAUAUAAAUGUUCAAAUAUAUAUAUUCAAAAUGCUGAAGUGGGAGUUUUGGACUCGGACUCCAAUUAUGAAUCGCACUGGAGAGGACUUGAACUUGACAUGGACUCUGACAUUUUGGACUCCAAUACAGUCAAAUUCAUGUCAUGUGUAACAAGAAAGAUCAAAGUAACAAAAUGAAAUUUAGAUAAGACAUUAAUAAAUGUCUCUCACUCAAACUCACUUUGAUCCUUUGCUAAGACCUGCCCCCUUCAUUAGCUGUUGCUCUGUGUCCGAAAAGCAAUGCUGCUCUCAUGCCACACAUCACGCAGUGAAAAGUACUUCACAGAGCAAAUGUUACUCUUUACCAGUUACAGCACAAAAUAAACAUCUCUGAACAUCAGAAAGUAUCUUGUUUCAACUGUGGCAAGAUGUCAAUACACACCAUUUUUCAAGUUCAAGUCAAUCGACAUCAAUUGAUAAUCUACUCUCCUGUUUGGUUUGUUUGUCGGACAAAAAUGGCAGAUUUGGCAUUAUGAUUGGUCAGAUCGCCUGUCAAUCAAACUCCCUGCGAAGGAUCAAAUUGCAAUCAAAUCCAAUAAUACAAAAUCCCCUGAAAAAAGAGCAAUAAAUAACACAGCUCUUCAUCUUGGUAUAAAAAAAAAAAAAAAAAAAAAAUCUGCUGAUUUGCCAAAAAGGCCUAAUAUAAAUAAAGGAUAAGCUGAUGAUGCUGAGAUUAUUAUUAUUAUUAUUAUUAUUUUUUUUUUAAUACAAACAUGUUUUCGCCCUACAAAUUAAGAAUGAAGAUUUGUAAAAUUAUAGGCUCAUGUAUCAGCUAUAAUCCACUCAUCAAAAUAACAAAAGCAGUCAAAUGUCAAAAAUAUGUAUUCAAAAUGUAUUAUUUAACUUACAAUCUGCAAAGGAAUCAAUAAUGUGUUCAAAUACUCCAUUUGAUGUCAAAUAACUUUACAAAAUAAGCAAAAUAAAUGUGUUCACAAAAUUUGGAUGUACCAAAACUAAAUUUAGAAGAAAAUGGUCAUGUUUGCAUUUAUUUCUGUCACUGGCCAUAAUUUUAACUCUAAAAUCUGGAUUAGACAUAAAAUAAAGUAUUCAGAUUCAUUCACAAAGUAAAAUGAGUUAAAGCCAACAUGCAAUGAAAUGCAUCAUAUUUUAUGAGAAAAUGUGAUGUUUUCAAGCAAAACAUGUAAUUAUUUGUGGAUUUACCACCCCAAAAUUGGUAAGAAACUAGUAUAUGAUUUUAUUCUGCAAAUAUGAUACAUAGCGCUGUAAUCAAUUAAUGCAUAUGUUUGAAAACAAAUGUUUAUUUUUGACAGACGGCUGGACGGAAAUGGCUGGAGCAGCGGCAGCGUGUCUAGAAAAAAAACGUUGCAUUUGUCAACUGAAAUGUGCACUUAUUGCAUACUGGUAAGCUGAAAUGACUUACAGUAUUUGCCAUCCAAAUGCAUGUGUAGUUCCUCUGUGUGUAUACGAAUACAUUUUCCCUGUGCUUUGUCGCUCCAGAGCUGAUCUAUCAUUCCAGUGAUGGGUCUCCAGCUGGACCCACACACCUUGUGCAUAAUCCAGUCGCUGGAGAACAGCAGCAGGUAUUACUCACAAUCCCACUCAUGCCAUUACAUGUCACAGGGGAUUUGUUGAUGUAUAUGUUUACACUCAGCUACAUGUUUAUGUCUGCAUCCACUCAUGUUUGCACGUACACUGUAAAAUCUAAUAAGUUGGGCUUACUUAAAAAAAGCAUGCAAACCGAUUGCCUUGAAAAAACUAAGUAAAGUGAAAUAGGAAUAGUAUAUUGUACUGACAAAUGCUUAGUUAGUAUAGUUAACUUACACAAGAGUUCUAGUAACUAAAAAAGAACUGUAGGGGGUACUUGAACCUUUCAUUUAGGUUUACUCAUGACUUAGUAUAGCUACUCACUGACUCCCAGAAUGCAUUGCGCAGAAUAAAUUAUGUAGUUGCUUUGUUUUAAAGUUGUUGUUUUUAUUUGCCAAUUUUAUUUGCUGUCUUGUGUCAGUAGUAGCACAACAAAAAGAGCAAAUAAAAUGGCUAUUGUUACAAUUAAUGAAAAUAAAUUAAAUGUAAUUGUUACCAUCGUUGUGAUUCACGUGAUGAAUGUUUAAGUCUGUGUGUGACUUCAGCAUAGUACCACACACUAUUUAUGGACUAUAUAAAAAGCAUAUCAAGGUAUUUAUGAAAAAUAAAAUCUCAAAAAGGUCAUUAUUAAACGCACACAAAAAAAUGCUUUAAUUAAAAAAUAGGUCAUUUUAUAAAAGCAACCUAUUUAUUACUUUUCAUUGAAAUCAAAUAACUCUGAUUUCAUGAUGCAUUUCUCCAUUAAUAGAGAGAAAAUUAUAGUAACAUAAAUAAAGUUUCAAGUGCCCAACCAGAGGGAAUGCUAAUCACUAUAAUGGUGAGCUAACGGCAAUUAGCAACAUAUUAGUGCACUGCUGCCUCUCAUUGGUUUAUUAAUGUCAUUGGUUCCUUUGUGACUACUUGAAUAUUUUAAGUAAGUGUCACUCAAAACAGUAAGUAAAUUGUUUUAUUUGCCUUGAAAGUAGCUGAAACUUAAUAAAACCUAGUAAGUAUAACAACUAAGUAAAGAUAACUAAUUAAAUCUAAGUAAGGUAAACUGUUGGAUUUUACAGUGUAUGAGCGCGCUUGUCUAAAUGAAAUGCAAUGAACAAACUGUGCAGCCAAGUGUUUAUUUCUGUAAUCCCAUCCACAAAUCCAGAAUCAGACGUAAGCGAUGGUCAAAUAUGGACAAACUGUUUAGUUAGAAAUUGAUAAGCAGGAAUGUAGACAGCAAGGACAUGGAUUACACACGUUAAACAUUCAGAGCACCAGACACAGCAAUCAUGUGGAAGAGAGGUUUAUCAAAUGUGCAGAAGAAGGGGAAAAAAAUCUAAUCAAAUACAAUAAAUAAAUUAA
Cyprinus carpio carpio is the source of this 5953-nucleotide long non-coding RNA. NCBI's taxonomy places the organism in Eukaryota, Metazoa, Chordata, Actinopteri, Cypriniformes, Cyprinidae. The record is from Ensembl.